Molecule: ribosomal RNA, 253 nt
Filed under: uncultured bacterium
Lineage: Bacteria
Description: partial 16S ribosomal RNA
Rfam family: Bacterial small subunit ribosomal RNA
Source: RNAcentral
UACGAAGGGGGCUAGCGUUGCUCGGAAUCACUGGGCGUAAAGCGCACGUAGGCGGCUUGUUAAGUCAGGGGCGAAAUCCUGGAGCUCAACUCCAGAACUGCCUUUGAUACUGGCGAGCUUGAGUUCGGGAGAGGUGAGUGGAAUUCCUAGUGUAGAGGUGAAAUUCGUAGAUAUUAGGAAGAACACCAGUGGCGAAGGCGGCUCACUGGUCCGGUACUGACGCUGAGGUGCGAAAGCGUGGGGAGCAAACAGG